Molecule: unclassified non-coding RNA, 509 nt
Filed under: Aspergillus candidus
Lineage: Eukaryota; Fungi; Ascomycota; Eurotiomycetes; Eurotiales; Aspergillaceae
Description: sequence contains ITS1, 5.8S rRNA gene, ITS2
Rfam family: 5.8S ribosomal RNA (bases 192-345)
Source: RNAcentral
AGGAUCAUUACCGAGUGAGGGUUUCUCUGAAGCCCAACCUCCCACCCGUGUAUACCGUACCCUGUUGCUUCGGCGGGCCCGCCUCACGGCCGCCGGGGGACCUCGCGUCCCCGGGCCCGCGCCCGCCGAAGACCCCAACACGAACACUGUCUGAAAAGUGCAGUCUGAGUCGAUUGUUACCAAUCAGUCAAAACUUUCAACAAUGGAUCUCUUGGUUCCGGCAUCGAUGAAGAACGCAGCGAAAUGCGAUAACUAAUGUGAAUUGCAGAAUUCAGUGAAUCAUCGAGUCUUUGAACGCACAUUGCGCCCCCUGGUAUUCCGGGGGGCAUGCCUGUCCGAGCGUCAUUGCUGCCCUCAAGCACGGCUUGUGUGUUGGGCCCCGUCCCCGGUACCCCCGGGGACGGGCCCGAAAGGCAGCGGCGGCACCGCGUCCGGUCCUCGAGCGUAUGGGGCUUUGUCACCCGCUCUGCAGGCCCGGCCGGCGCCAGCCGACCAACCCAACCAUUUUU